This 76-nucleotide transfer RNA is filed under the name Ipomoea nil (Japanese morning glory). It matches the Rfam family "tRNA". Rfam says of the family: Transfer RNA (tRNA) molecules are approximately 80 nucleotides in length. The record is from Rfam by way of RNAcentral. Lineage: Eukaryota; Viridiplantae; Streptophyta; Magnoliopsida; Solanales; Convolvulaceae.
GCUCUUGUAACUCAGUUGGUUAGAGCACCCGUUUAGUAAGCGGGAGGUCUUGAGUUAUAAACUCUUAACAAGAGCA